Non-coding RNA from Thiorhodovibrio sp., 141 nucleotides. Lineage: Bacteria; Pseudomonadati; Pseudomonadota; Gammaproteobacteria; Chromatiales; Chromatiaceae. The record is from Rfam.
AAAGUCACCUUUUCAGUACUGAAGGUGUAGAGCCCCGAAAAGAAUUUGUCGGAGAGUGCCGACGGGUUUGUCCCCCCGGCAGGCAACACUCCAUGUCGCGUCAAGGUCAGUGGCAUGGAGACUCCCCGGGGUCCGAGGCCG